AUACUUACCUGGCAGGGGAGAUCUCAUGAUCCUCUCAGCUGAUCAAGUUUUGUUGUAGGGUGAGAUAUGUGCCUCACACUCCAGGCAGGCCAACCCCUUUGAGCUUUCACAAAUGCAGGGAGCUCGACUGCACAAUUUUGUGGUAAUGUGGGGUUGUGUUCUCACUUUCCCGAU
Small nuclear RNA from Crocodylus porosus (Australian saltwater crocodile), 174 nucleotides. Its record names the gene U1. It matches the Rfam family "U1 spliceosomal RNA". Rfam says of the family: U1 is a small nuclear RNA (snRNA) component of the spliceosome (involved in pre-mRNA splicing). Its 5' end forms complementary base pairs with the 5' splice junction, thus defining the 5' donor site of an intron. There are significant differences in sequence and secondary structure between metazoan and yeast U1 snRNAs, the latter being much longer (568 nucleotides as compared to 164 nucleotides in human). Lineage: Eukaryota; Metazoa; Chordata; Crocodylia; Crocodylidae. The record is from Ensembl.